This 253-nucleotide ribosomal RNA is filed under the name uncultured bacterium. Its description in RNAcentral is "partial 16S ribosomal RNA". It matches the Rfam family "Bacterial small subunit ribosomal RNA", at positions 524 to 776 of the family's 1533-position model. The record is from RNAcentral.
UACAGAGGAUGCAAGCGUUAUCCGGAUUCACUGGGUUUAAAGGGUGUGUAGGCGGGUAUUUAAGCCAGUGGUGAAAUCUCCAGGCUCAACCUGGAAACUGCCAUUGAUACUAUAUAUCUUGAAUCUUGUUGAGGUGGGCGGAAUAUGUCAUGUAGCGGUGAAAUGCAUAGAUAUGACAUAGAACACCAAUUGCGAAGGCAGCUCACAAAGCAAGUAUUGACGCUGAGGCACGAAAGCGUGGGGAUCAAACAGG